Molecule: ribosomal RNA, 460 nt
Filed under: uncultured bacterium
Lineage: Bacteria
Description: partial 16S ribosomal RNA
Rfam family: Bacterial small subunit ribosomal RNA
Source: RNAcentral
CCUACGGGAGGCAGCAGUGAGGAAUAUUGGUCAAUGGACGAGAGUCUGAACCAGCCAAGUAGCAUGAAGGAUGACUGCCCUAUGGGUUGUAAACUUCUUUUAUAUGGGAAUAAAAUGUUCCACGUGUGGGAUUUUGUAUGUACCAUAUGAAUAAGGAUCGGCUAACUCCGUGCCAGCAGCCGCGGUAAUACGGAGGAUCCGAGCGUUAUCCGGAUUUAUUGGGUUUAAAGGGAGCGUAGGUGGAUUGUUAAGUCAGUUGUGAAAGUUUGCGGCUCAACCGUAAAAUUGCAGUUGAAACUGGCAGUCUUGAGUACAGUAGAGGUGGGCGGAAUUCGUGGUGUAGCGGUGAAAUGCUUAGAUAUCACGAAGAACUCCGAUUGCGAAGGCAGUUCACUGGACUGCAACUGACACUGAGGCUCGAAAGUGUGGGUAUCAAACAGGAUUAGAUACCCGUGUAGUC